Molecule: long non-coding RNA, 1279 nt
Filed under: Bemisia tabaci
Lineage: Eukaryota; Metazoa; Arthropoda; Insecta; Hemiptera; Aleyrodidae
Description: lncRNA ENSASIAIIG010816
Source: RNAcentral
AUGGCUUUCGCUGCUCUGACCGUUCUCGCCUGCUUGGGCGCCGCCGCCGCCUACGAAUACGACUACGCCCCGGCCGCCAGCCCCUCGUACUUCGCCGACUCCUACCAACAGUACCCCCAGCAGCAGUACUACCAGCAGCAGUCCUACCAGUACCCGGCCUACCCGCAGACCUACCGCACCUACGCCCAGGCCCCGGCCAAGAUCGAAGCCGCCCCCGUCCAGGCCAAAUAUGACGUCAUCAGCCAGCCCUCAUACAAGCACGCCCACGCUCCCUGCCCGGCCCCCGUUCCGGAAAUCAAGCCCGUCGUCGUGAAGUCGCAGCUCCCGGUGCCGUUCACCUACGGAGUUCACCGUCAACCCCAGGUCCUCGAGCACCACGCCGCCCCCUCCGUCUUCCACUACUACGGACAACCUUACGUCGUCAAGCACACCCAGAGCGCCGUCCUCCACGCCUACACCCAGGUCCAUGAGGAGUACGCCAAGCCCGCCGUCAUCGUCGAAGAAGCCUGCCCCGAAGUUGAACACUACCACCAUUAAACGUCCCUCUUGUAAGUUGUUUCCUGCCUAGCGCACCCAUGUUCCUCAGUUGAUCAUAAUACAAACCUGUUGUUAAUUACCUCAAUCCACGCCUCUUCGUUUUUUACUCCUAUCCUGAUUAGCGGUAGGGUGAGCUCAAAAAGACGGAUGUAACCAGUGGCGACUCUUGAAAGUUCUCAAUACUGUUUUUUCUCCAUUUAAAUGCGUGUAAAACAAUCGAUUUUUGAUGAGGCUUGCUUCAUCUAAAGUCGAUAUUUUCAACGGAUUUAAAUAGAGUAAAAAAGUGUUGUCGACUUGCAAAGUCGCAACUGGAUGCAACCAGAAUCAGCCGAACUGCAUUUUACGUGCAUUUCUAUCAUAGUUCGGAUUUUUAUCACAGAUCUAAACAGCGUACCUUUAUUAAACCCUCAAUUAAUUUUCUCUUGAUUUCAAAAAAAUACUUUCACAAAAAUGAAAUCCAGAAUGUUGCUUGGUUUCUAUUUAAAAAAAAAAAUAAUAUAAGUUGAGAAGAAAUCAGGUGCCCAAAUGGAUGAAUUUAAGCAAAAUCACCCUAACCACAUCAGGUGUCGCCAGUUUUAUUUUCUUGAACAGAGAACUAAUUGACAUUCCUACUUGAAAUUGUUGUGAAUGUAUGUAUUAUUCACAGUCCAGAUGAACAUUAUAGGAAAAAGUUUCUAGGCUAAAUGUCAUGCAAUUACCCAUCAAAGAAUUAAAGCAUGAGUGAUAAUCAGGCACUUUGAAA